RNAcentral lists this ribosomal RNA (405 nucleotides) under uncultured bacterium. RNAcentral's name for it is "partial 16S ribosomal RNA". It matches the Rfam family "Bacterial small subunit ribosomal RNA", at positions 30 to 526 of the family's 1533-position model. The record is from RNAcentral.
AUUGAACGCUGGCGGCAGGCUUAACACAUGCAAGUCGAACGAGUGGCACACGGGUGAGUAAUGCUUGGGACUCUAGCUUAUGGAGGGGGAUAACUACGGGAAACUGUAGCUAAUACCGCGUACCAUAGGAUGACCCCAAGUGGGAUUAGGUAGUUGGUGAGGUAAAGGCUCCACAAGCCGACGCGCUCUAGCUGGUAGGAGAGGAUGACCAGCCACACUGGGACGGAGACACGGCCCAGAUUCCUCCGGGAGGCAGCAGUGGGGAAUAUUGCGCAAUGGGGGCAACCUGACGCAGCCAUGCCGCGUGAAUGAAGAAGGCCUUCGGGUUGUAAAGUUCUUUCGGUAGCGAGGCGUUAACUACAGAAGAAGCACCGGCUAACUCCGUGCCAGCAGCCGCGGUAAUUC